AGUGAACGUUGGUGGCGUGCUUAACACAUGCAAGUCGAACGAGAACGGAUUAUAGCUUGCUAUAAUUGUCAGCUAAGUGGCGCACGGGUGAGUAAUGUAUAGGUAAUAUGCCUCUUACUAAGGGAUAACAAAUGGAAACGUUUGCUAAUACCUUAUACUCCUUAUUAACAGAAGUUAAUAAGGGAAAGAUUUAUUGGUAAGAGAUUAGCCUGUAUUGUAUCAGUUAGUUGGUGGGGUAAUGGCUUACCAAGACUAUGACACAUAACUGGUUUGAGAGGAUGGUCAGUCACACUGGAACUGGAACACGGUCCAGACUCCUACGGGAGGCAGCAGUGGGGAAUAUUACACAAUGGACGAAAGUCUGAUGCAGCAACGCCGCGUGGAGGAUGACACAUUUCGGUGCGUAAACUCCUUUUAUAUGAGAAGAUAAUGACGGUAUUAUAUGAAUAAGCACCGGCUAACUCCUUGCCAGCCGCCGCCGUAA
This 484-nucleotide ribosomal RNA is filed under the name uncultured bacterium. RNAcentral describes it as "partial 16S ribosomal RNA". It matches the Rfam family "Bacterial small subunit ribosomal RNA", at positions 29 to 523 of the family's 1533-position model. The record is from RNAcentral.